GGAGAAGUGGCUCAGUGGUAAAGAGCACUUUGUUGUCUUGGCUGAGGACCUGGGUUAGGCUCCCAGCAUUCCCA
This 74-nucleotide transfer RNA is filed under the name Mus musculus (house mouse). It matches the Rfam family "tRNA". Rfam says of the family: Transfer RNA (tRNA) molecules are approximately 80 nucleotides in length. Their secondary structure includes four short double-helical elements and three loops (D, anti-codon, and T loops). Lineage: Eukaryota; Metazoa; Chordata; Mammalia; Rodentia; Muridae. The record is from Rfam by way of RNAcentral.